Long non-coding RNA from Wyeomyia smithii (pitcher-plant mosquito), 687 nucleotides. RefSeq lists it as uncharacterized. The record is from RefSeq and is a predicted model, not a curated record. The transcript is spliced from 3 exons. Lineage: Eukaryota; Metazoa; Arthropoda; Insecta; Diptera; Culicidae.
GCUGCUUCAUCUUCCGUGUUAGUUGCAGUAUUCCAGUUGGCAGUGACCUGGCGGUUACAAAACGGACGAACUUCUUCAUCGUACUGCUGCAGCACUGCGGUCAUCUCUUCAUCGCUUAGCCCGCUUUUUUGCACUACCACCUGAGGAACUCCAAAAGCCAGCGGUAGCAGACAGAUCAGUAUCGGAAGACACUAACAUUAUGCACAACAUAACUAUUGAAUAACCAAGCUGAUAAACCGAAACUUAAAACCACUCGGCGUGUGAAAGCAACUAAAGCUUCAGCUUCCAUCUUGGUCCGGAUUUACAAACAAAAAGGUACAAAAACGUACAAAAUACCGGAUUCACUUCGCCUGACGCAAGCUACAAGAAUGUUACAUAGAAAAAACUGUCCCUCCGUCAAGCGGCCACGAAAUAUGGAAUCAACUUACUCAGCGACCAUCAGAGCCCUAAUCAGCAGACAACUAAGCUAUUAUCUAAAAACUUGACAAAAGUCUGGUUCAUUUGCUGCAUGAAUUGACAAAGACAUCCACAACCCGAAAGAAGCGGGCCAAGAUUCCGGUUCUACCAGUACAAAUGAUGCCGUGUCUAGACGAAGUACAAGAAUAUCCUGAAUUGAUAGAAAUACCUAACCCUGAACUCUGAAUCCUCCCGUUCCUAACGCUGUUAGAAGAUAUCCGAACAUUAAGA